UACGAACUGUGCAAACGUUAUUCGGAAUCACUGGGCUUAAAGGGUGCGUAGGCGGCUUAUCAAGUAGGGUGUGAAAGCCCCCGGCUUAACCGGGGAAUAGCGCCCUAAACUGACGAGCUGGAGUGGGACAGGGGUGUGUGGAACUUCCGGUGGAGCGGUGAAAUGUGUUGAUAUCGGAAGGAACGCCGGUGGCGAAAGCGACACACUGGGUCUCAACUGACGCUGAGGCACGAAAGCCAGGGGAGCGAACGGG
Molecule: ribosomal RNA, 253 nt
Filed under: uncultured Planctomyces sp.
Lineage: Bacteria; Pseudomonadati; Planctomycetota; Planctomycetia; Planctomycetales; Planctomycetaceae
Description: partial 16S ribosomal RNA
Rfam family: Bacterial small subunit ribosomal RNA
Source: RNAcentral